CCUAAAAAUUUGAGGGAAGAUUCAGCUGCUAUAGCUUAAAAUCGGAGAUCAUGCAUGUUAUGCCUGUUAAUUUUAAUUUGGAAUACUGAGAUCUGUUCAGAUGCUGUGCUUACCUGCUAAAAACAAUCUAGCAAAAAGGGACAGAAGUUUGUUGCUUUUUCUUACCUUGGUGCUGUUUGAUUGGUACUCAAUCAAGAUGAUAGUUGGUGUAAAAUCAUGUACGUACACUUCCAGAUUUUUUGUAUUUACAAGGAUUGGUUCAUGUUACGAUUGUCAAUGGAGCGACAUUACUUCCACUUUUCCUUACAUAUUCUCCACAGGCCACAAACUGUUUAUUCUUAUUUUAAUUCUUAGUGCCUAAUGGUCCCGUAGGUGUUUUUCAAGACUAAUAAAAAAAGUUUGAUAGAGCAAAUCAGACACGCCUCUAAGGUUAGUCUCCUGGAUCUAUUUCUACUCACAUGAGUAACUAAUUUUGCUUCCCUUUGAUCCAGGGCAUAAAAUUGAUGGUUGCUACUACCAAAUUGCUACUGUUUAAUUGACGUCUUCUUUACGAAAUACUAGAAUUUGAUGCCGGUAGUUCAUCCUUUUGAAUUUCAAAAGCAUGAAAUAAUAUAAUUACCCCAUGUUUCUGUCUGCUAAUUUAUUAUUAAUCCAAUGAAAUAUGUCACUGUUGCUUUCAUGGACCUUUUCUGCAUGGAACAGGGGAGAUUCAAAAUUUUGUAUCUACUUUGUAAUUGCCCCUUUGUGGUUGCUGCUUGAUUUCUUAGUGCACCAAUCGGUUGUACUAGGAGGAUUAUUAUAACAUGGAAGCCUUUUUUAUGCAAGGAACAAAUGAGGCUUUAUUAUCUAACAUUCACCUGUAGAUAUUUAUCAUGCUUAGCACAAGGCUCUGCAAGGCUUGAAUUUCUAAAUUAUUUUUUGUUUCUACGAGCAGAGAAGAUGAUAGAUGUUUAAGUACGAACCAUUGACGUAAGCUGCAUUGCAAUUUAUUGACGGAAAGGCACACCCCAUGGAUGUGGAUUGUAGAGUGGAAACGAGAGAGAAAUACAAAAGUCUAUGGUUUUGCAUGGCAGACACACACACAUAUGUAUAUAGAAACACACGCACACAUAUGAGUACCAUUUGUAUUUUUCUUUACUUAGAGAGAUCCCUGGCUACUAUCCAAUUCACUAAAAUGGAAAGACCUUUGGUCGAAAUUAAACAAUCAUAUUUCUCAAUCAUAAAUUUUGAGCCGUAUACAUUUGUAUGUACAUUCUAAUUUUUUUAAUUGCAUAUUGGUACUACUAUAUUAAGAAAUUUGACCCAAAUAAUACUCUCGCCGUCCUAAAAUAAGUGUCGCUGAUUUAGCACAACUCUGUACUAAAGCAGCGACACUUAUUUUAGGACGGAGGAGUAGUUGAUUACAUGCCCAAAUAAUAAAUCUAGCCGCGCAAUUGCGCGGGCCGCACAUCUAGAUUAAAUGUGUAUAAAAGGUGUAAAAGCUAAACAGAAAACCUGGAUUGUCCUUAAUCAGAAAUCAGUAACUAAGCACAUGUCUCCCUACUUAUAAACUAAAUGUCAUUGGACGUACUUACAUGUGGAGUGUGCUACUGUUCUGCUGCUAAGACCACCAUGUUUAUGUUACAAUGAUCAUCUCCUUAUAUUACGGGUUUUGUAAUUUGGCAUGUUGGAAGUUGUAGUUAAUGCGUGUAUCUUCAUAUCCAGCAAUACAUAUUAAUUUGUGCGAUAUCUCUUUUAGCAGUAAGUUUGAAGAUUGGUUAGGGUUUUCCCGCACAUAUACUCAAGUGUUUUUUUCCUGAAUAUAACAUACAUAAGGGGAUACAACAUCUGAUAAUUUUCUAUAUAAAGUAGAACAUACCAAACUGAUCUUAUGCCCAAUCUAUCAAAGUAUGUUUUAGAGAACUCUCUAUUACCAGAAUUAUGUUCAUCUGCAGUAUGUAGUAAGUUCUGUUUGGUCCGGUUCAUCUUUCAUGUGGUAUGCAGCAUUUGAACUACAUGCAUAUAUGUAUUAGCAGGUUGUGUACUACUGUUAUGUACAACUAAGAAAAAUUAUAAAAGAUCACUUCUAAUUCAGAUAUGUUUGGAGGACAUAUACUAUAAACUGUUACAAUACACCAACAACAAUCAUGUCAUUUAAUGUACAUCUCCACCUCCAUAUUAUAAACCUCUGUGUUUUUAUCACCAAUCGUAAAUUAUUAAAUGAAAUUAUACAAUUUCUAUAACCAUUACCAACGAUCUGCAUAUUUCCUUUGCAUAGUCUAUUCUUUAAUCAAGACGUACACAAUUAAUAAUGGGAUGAGUCGGCCAUGGUGAUUCCUCAAGAAAAUGUAUUCCAGGAUAAUUGCUCAGUGGUCUUCAUCUAGGGAAAGAGAGACCAAAAUGAUUCCAAUUAUGUCGAAUGCUUCACGAUGAGAGAUGUUUACUUACUUUCAUCCAACCCCGAGGAUUAAAAUCUCUUUCAUCGUGGUUAUUUAUUCUCAAGUACUAUACAAAAUGUUUCCAAAAUAUAAAGCUCAUACACAUGCACAUGUUCCAUUAUCAUUUAUUACUUUUAGUUCAAAGGAGCGCACGAGCGAGCCGGAUCUACAUAUAUGAGUCAUGUUCAUGGAUUCAUUGUUUACUGAGUAAGUUUGUUGUUCUUACUACUCUUUUAUUAUUUUGUUUACUAAUCUGCUAAAUUUGUACUACCUCCGUUUUGAUACUCGGAGUUUUCCACAGUAUAGUUGUGCCCUUUUAUUUUUAACCUAUCGCACAUCUACACAAUGAAAGAACAAGUACUUUGUCGUUUUUCUAAUCGAUCUUUCUACAGAAAAAUAAAAAUAAUUUCUACAUUUAGAAAUUCUGUACUUGAGAAAUGAUUUUUUAGAGAAAUACUAGAGAUCAUAACAUGUAAUCAUCCAUCGGAUCUACUUAAAAACCAUUUCAAAUCUACUGGAUCUACUCUCAUCUCUACAAACCUCUAGAAGCCACAAUCCCCAAAUCGCAUCUCUCUCCCCAAAUCCACAUCUCAGUUAUAUUGUCCCUCUCUCAAAAAGCGGUUGUGGUAAGACUUUUAUCUCUAGGGCGUGGCUGUGGGGUGGAGAUGGAGAUGGAGAGAAGAUGAUGAAUUUUAUUACCUGUGCCUCCUCUUCCGCCAAAUACAUUCGGGUCGGGAUGACCGGACUGAUCCUGCCGCGCUCCACUUGCCUCCGGUUACAGUACGGUUGGCGGUGCUGCGCCCGACCCUGCCACUGUCCAUGCGCUGCCGCCGCUGCCUGGGACGAGCAGAGGAGAGCGAGCAUAUAUCCAGCUUGCGGUGGACAGCGACCAGGCCGAAGUUCUUCAGUGGUGACCGACAGAGUCACAGUGACGUGGAGUUGGGCUGUCAAUUGGGGUCUUGGGGACAAGCACAACUAUUUGGGCCAAGUUGGGCUGAGAAAUAAAUCCAGCGGUUUAAAAAAAAGCACGCCCAGGAUGAUAAAGCAAGUAGAAUUUGCAGUAAAAACAAAGGUCCAAUAUGGGUUUAAGCUAUGUAUUACAUUUCCUUUAAAAAAAAAGCUAUGUAUUACAUUUC
This is a long non-coding RNA of Triticum aestivum (bread wheat), 3553 nucleotides long. RefSeq lists it as uncharacterized. The record is from RefSeq and is a predicted model, not a curated record. The transcript is spliced from 2 exons. Lineage: Eukaryota; Viridiplantae; Streptophyta; Magnoliopsida; Poales; Poaceae.